AUUGAACGCUGGCGGCAGGCCUAACAAAUGCAAGUCGAGCGGAUGACGGGAGCUUGCUCCUUGAUUCAGCGGCGGACGGGUGAGUAAUGCCUAGGAAUCUGCCUGGUAGUGGGGGACAACGUUUCGAAAGGAACGCUAAUACCGCAUACGUCCUACGGGAGAAAGCAGGGGACCUUCGGGCCUUGCGCUAUCAGAUGAGCCUAGGUCGGAUUAGCUAGUUGGUGGGGUAAUGGCUCACCAAGGCGACGAUCCGUAACUGGUCUGAGAGGAUGAUCAGUCACACUGGAACUGAAACACGGUCCAGACUCCUACGGGAGGCAGCAGUGGGGAAUAUUGGACAAUGGGCGAAAGCCUGAUCCAGCCAUGCCGCGUGUGUGAAGAAGGUCUUCGGAUUGUAAAGCACUUUAAGUUGGGAGGAAGGGCAGUAAGUUAAUACCUUGCUGUUUUGACGUUACCGACGGAAUAAGCACCGGCUAACUCUGUGCCAGCCGCCGCAGUAA
This 500-nucleotide ribosomal RNA is filed under the name uncultured bacterium. RNAcentral's name for it is "partial 16S ribosomal RNA". It matches the Rfam family "Bacterial small subunit ribosomal RNA", at positions 30 to 523 of the family's 1533-position model. The record is from RNAcentral.